GGCAAGCGUUAUCCGGAAUUAUUGGGCGUAAAGCGCGCGCAGGCGGUUUCUUAAGUCUGAUGUGAAAGCCCCCGGCUCAACCGGGGAGGGUCAUUGGAAACUGGGAAACUUGAGUGCAGAAGAGGAGAGUGGAAUUCCACGUGUAGCGGUGAAAUGCGUAGAGAUGUGGAGGAACACCAGUGGCGAAGGCGACUCUCUGGUCUGUAACUGACGCUGAGGCGCGAAAGCGUGGGGAGCGAACAGGAUUAGAUACCCUGGUAGUCCACGCCGUAAACGAUGAGUGCUAAGUGUUAGAGGGUUUCCGCCCUUUAGUGCUGCAGCUAACGCAUUAAGCACUCCGCCUGGGGAGUACGGUCGCAAGACUGAAACUCAAAGGAAUUGACGGGGGCCCGCACAAGCGGUGGAGCAUGUGGUUUAAUUCGAAGCAACGCGAAGAACCUUACCAGGUCUUGACAUCCUUUGCCACUUCUAGAGAUAGAAGGUUCCCCUUCGGGGGACAAAGU
This 503-nucleotide ribosomal RNA is filed under the name uncultured Bacillota bacterium. RNAcentral describes it as "bacterial SSU rRNA". It matches the Rfam family "Bacterial small subunit ribosomal RNA", at positions 533 to 1032 of the family's 1533-position model. The record is from RNAcentral. Lineage: Bacteria; Bacillati; Bacillota.